Non-coding RNA from Pelobates cultripes (western spadefoot toad), 205 nucleotides. Lineage: Eukaryota; Metazoa; Chordata; Amphibia; Anura; Pelobatidae. The record is from the annotation of a GenBank genome assembly.
GAUGACUCUGUGAGCAAUGCAGUGUGUUUGUCAUGGUCCUGCCAAUGCACAUUUUUAAUGUGCAAAUGCUUACAAAGUGUUCCCAAUCCCUUACUUUCUCAUCAUUUGUACAUGUAGGAUUUUCACUUUCCCUGCUCCCUUCUCUUUUACAGCCAAAUAUCCUUUUGCACUCAAUGACAUAUCAGAGAAUAUUGAGAUUAAGAAG